This 492-nucleotide ribosomal RNA is filed under the name uncultured bacterium. Its description in RNAcentral is "partial 16S ribosomal RNA". It matches the Rfam family "Bacterial small subunit ribosomal RNA", at positions 29 to 507 of the family's 1533-position model. The record is from RNAcentral.
AGUGAACGCUGGCGGUAGGCCUAACACAUGCAAGUCGAACGGCAGCACAGUAAGAGCUUGCUCUUACGGGUGGCGAGUGGCGGACGGGUGAGGAAUACAUCGGAAUCUACUUUUUCGUGGGGGAUAACGUAGGGAAACUUACGCUAAUACCGCAUACGACCUACGGGUGAAAGCAGGGGAUCUUCGGACCUUGCGCGAUUGAAUGAGCCGAUGUCGGAUUAGCUAGUUGGGGGGGUAAAGGCCCACCAAGGCGACGAUCCGUAGCUGGUCUGAGAGGAUGAUCAGCCACACUGGAACUGAGCCACGGUCCAGACUCCUACGGGAGGCAGCAGUGGGGAAUAUUGGACAAUGGGCGCAAGCCUGAUCCAGCCAUACCGCGUGGGUGAAGAAGGCCUUCGGGUUGUAAAGCCCUUUUGUUGGGAAAGAAAAGCAGCAGGUUAAUACCCCGCUGUUCUGACGGUACCCAAAGAAUAAGCACCGGCUAACUUCGUG